AGCUGCAUGCAAAUAUUGCAUACGCCCCAAGACGACAAUAGAAAGAGUGGUGCGCAUCAAUAAUGUUCGAGCGACAAGCUAAAGUUGCUUGGUCGUAGCCUCGGUGAGACCGUAUUGCGUGUGAACAUGGGGUACAGGACACUUCAACUUACAUCCCGAUGAACUUCUUUAAAGAAUAGGUAGUGAGCCCGUAGAAGUAUAAGCAGCAUAAGCAGUAGAUAAUAGUGUAACACGUGACCAGUGUGCUAACACUUCAACCAACACCAUAAAGCAUAAAAAGGUGUCCGCAAGUUGGUUGUAUCUAUCUACAUAGUUUGAUGUAAGAAUAGAAUGUUCAAUUUUGUGUUAUUUAGCGUAGGAGGGUCUCACUCCUUAUUUGGCUAAAGAAGGGACAGAUUGCUGUUUUUCGCAGAUUUGGCAUGUGCGAAGCUGUGAAGCUUGCAGGUGGCGUGUAGGCUUUUGCCUUAGCCAAAAGUGACGUGUGUAUGAUCAAAACCAAGUCCUUUCGGUCGUUCUAAGGUCGUAAACUCCAUGACUAGUUAGCAAAAGCUCCCUGACAUGAACAUAAACUAACUCAGAGGACCUAGAGGAUCCGAUCAUGAUGAUAAUUUUCCAACUUUGAUAAGUCUUCAACGUCUUUUGCAAGACGGCAAUUGGUUUAAUAGCGUAGGGGGAUCCAAAAUCAAAAGCUUUCGGUAACUCCAAGUCAGUAUGACCAGGCAUGUCCGUGGAGGGUCGGUAGUGCGAGGCACACUUAAAACCACUAUCUCCUUAAUUUCGGACAAUUCUAAGACAUCACACUGAGCUUGGAUGAGCCUAGUUGAACAAUUGAUGAUGAAAAAUCCGUUAUAGGGUAGAAGACUUAACCGGAAACACGUGGGCGAUCCUCCUGAAGAAUGCAGUGCCAUGAGUCACCUUCAAAGGAAGGGACCAAAAUCGGCACAAUAUGCCAUGUUUCUAAGGACGAUGUAAGUGUACAUCUUGAUUGUAAAUCAAUAUGAACCAUAAAAGGAGAAUAGUUUCA
RNAcentral lists this long non-coding RNA (1024 nucleotides) under Fragaria vesca (wild strawberry). RNAcentral describes it as "long non-coding RNA (FVES_LNC004302)". The record is from RNAcentral. Lineage: Eukaryota; Viridiplantae; Streptophyta; Magnoliopsida; Rosales; Rosaceae.